AAAACCUUAUUUUAAUUAAAAAUUUAACUUUUGCAUAGUUAGGAUAAGUGUUGUGUUGUUUAAUACUUAGGUUUUU
This 76-nucleotide transfer RNA is filed under the name Aplidium conicum. RNAcentral describes it as "transfer RNA-Ala". The record is from RNAcentral. Lineage: Eukaryota; Metazoa; Chordata; Ascidiacea; Aplousobranchia; Polyclinidae.